CUUGAUCAAUUAUAAGAGGUCAAGCCUGCCCAGUGACAUUGUUCAACGGCCGCGGUAUCCUAACCGUGCGAAGGUAGCGUAAUCACUUGUCCUUUAAAUAAGGACUAGUAUGAACGGCUUCACGAAGGCUAUACUGUCUCCUUAAUCUAAUCAAUUAAACUAAUCUCCCCGUGAAGAAGCGGGGAUUCAUCUAUAAGACGAGAAGACCCUAUGGAGCUUUAAACAUCUAAGACACUUGAUUUUUACCUACUAAACUUCAUGCAACCUAUCCUUUUGUCUUAAGUUUUAGGUUGGGGUGACCACGGAGAAUAAUUAAACCUCCACGUAGAAAGAAAAUUCUUUUCUAAGCAAAAAGCCACAUCUUAACGCAUCAAUAUAUUGACUUAACUUGACCCAAUUUCUUGCUCAWCGAAC
Molecule: ribosomal RNA, 414 nt
Filed under: Allobates femoralis group sp. ABGD cluster 9
Lineage: Eukaryota; Metazoa; Chordata; Amphibia; Anura; Aromobatidae
Description: partial large subunit ribosomal RNA
Source: RNAcentral